RNAcentral lists this ribosomal RNA (464 nucleotides) under uncultured bacterium. Its description in RNAcentral is "partial 16S ribosomal RNA". It matches the Rfam family "Bacterial small subunit ribosomal RNA", at positions 338 to 795 of the family's 1533-position model. The record is from RNAcentral.
CCUACGGGGUGCUGCAGUAGGGAAUCUUCCACAAUGGGCGAAAGCCUGAUGGAGCAACGCCGCGUGGGUGAAGAAGGUCUUCGGAUCGUAAAACCCUGUUGUUAGAGAAGAAAGUGCGUGAGAGUAACUGUUCACGUUUCGACGGUAUCUAACCAGAAAGCCACGGCUAACUACGUGCCAGCAGCCGCGGUAAUACGUAGGUGGCAAGCGUUAUCCGGAUUUAUUGGGGUUAAAGGGUGCGUAGGCGGAAGGUUAAGUCAGCGGUCAAAUGUCGGUGCUCAACACCGGCCUGCCGUUGAAACUGGUCUUCUUGAGUGAGCGAGAAGUAUGCGGAAUGCGUGGUGUAGCGGUGAAAUGCAUAGAUAUCACGCAGAACUCCGAUUGCGAAGGCAGCCUGCCGGGGUGCGACUGACGCUGAGGCUCGAAGGUGCGGGUAUCAAACAGGAUUAGAUACCCUGGUAGUC